This 1227-nucleotide long non-coding RNA is filed under the name Medicago truncatula (barrel medic). RNAcentral's name for it is "lncRNA gene1253". The record is from RNAcentral. Lineage: Eukaryota; Viridiplantae; Streptophyta; Magnoliopsida; Fabales; Fabaceae.
GAUCUUUCAAGCUAUCAUACCCACUAUAUCCAGGGUUAUAGCUAUCAUCAGUUUCAUUGUAGAUACUACAAGAUGCCUCAUGAAGUAAGCGUUGACUCUCCUCAAAAUUUUGCUCUGUAUCAUUCCAAGGAUGCUUCUCCAUUAACCUUAUGCCAUCCAACUCCAUAGCUACUUCCCUCAUACUAGGUCUUUCAUCACCUCUAAGUCUUAAACACCUUGCAGCAAGAAUAGAAACCUCCUUAAUCUCUUUCUUGUUUUCAUCAUUGAAAAUUCCAACUUGAAUAGCAUCAAAAAGUUUAUCUUGUUUUAAACAAGACAAAAAGUGCAUAGCAAGACUAAUGGUCUCUUCUGGCCUGUUAAAAGAAAGAGGUUUGGCACCUGUUAGAAGCUCUGCAAGAACUACUCCAAAGCUAUACACAUCACUUUUUUCGGUUAAUUGAUGUGUUUGCAUAUACUCUGGAUCUAAGUAUCCAAGAGUUCCUUGUACCAUUGUCGCUAUCUCGGUUUGAUCAAGUGGAACCAAUCUUGAAGCUCCGAAGUCGGAAACUUUUGCAGUGUAAUUGUCAUCCAAGAGAAUGUUGGUACUCUUAACAUCUCUAUGGAUAAUUGGAAUUGAUGCAGCUGAAUGUAGAUAUGAUAAAGCACCAGCUGUCUCUGCUGCUAUCCUUAAACGUGUUUUCCAUGCUGGAUUGUUUGCUUUAUCUUUACAAUUUUGUAUGAAAUCAAAAAGUGUUCCGUUGCUAACAAAUUCAUACACCAACGAAGGAACUUCUGUCUCCAAACAACACCCUAAAAGUUUGACAACGUUCCUAUGAUUUAUUUGGGACAGAACAACUACCUCAUUAAUGAAUUGCUCGAUCUGAUUUGCGUCUAUUAUUUUGGACUUUUUGACAGCGACAAUUUUGUUAUCGGGCAAAAUUCCUUUGAAAACUGUACCAAAACCUCCUCUACCGAUGAUUAAGCUUUCGUCGUAGUUUUUGGUGGCUUUCUUAAGUUCCUCUUCCGUGAAUAUUUGAGCUGAUUGCGAAGUGUCUUCUCUUGUUGAUAGUUGUUGUAGCAAAAUAGAACCACCAUUUUGUUGAAAGAAUUUUUGCUUUAGUUUGAUGAGUUUCCUUUUUUGGUACGUCAAGUAUAGAGAUGAAACCGCCACAAAUAGGACUAUUAGUCCAGCACUUGAUCCUGCAUUUCAAUUGUGUUGUAGCAAGUUAAUGAAUUGUUUUAUAAAUU